AAUGAACGCUGGCGGCGCGCCUAAUACAUGCAAGUCGAGCGAGAAGACGUAGCAAUACGUUUGUAAAGCGGCGAACGGGUGAGGAAUACAUGGGUAACCUACCCUUGAGUGGGGAAUAACUAGCCGAAAGGUUAGCUAAUACCGCGUACGCUUCCUGGACUUCGGUUCAGGGAGGAAAGCGAUGCCGAGGGUAUCGCGCUCUUGGAUGGGCUCAUGUCCUAUCAGCUUGUUGGGAGGUAACGGCUCACCAAGGCUUCGACGGGUAGCUGGUCUGAGAGGACGAUCAGCCACACUGGCACUGCGACACGGGCCAGACUCCUACGGGAGGCAGCAGUAAGGAAUAUUGCGCAAUGGGCGAAAGCCUGACGCAGCGACGCCGCGUGGGGGA
Molecule: ribosomal RNA, 388 nt
Filed under: uncultured bacterium
Lineage: Bacteria
Description: bacterial SSU rRNA
Rfam family: Bacterial small subunit ribosomal RNA
Source: RNAcentral